UCUAUACUCUAAAGUAUGUCUAUAUACAUCCGUAUGUAGUCCCUAGUGAAAUCUUUAAAAAACUUAUACUCCCUCCGCCUGAAAUUACUUAUCGCACAAAUAUAUAAAAAUGGAUAUAUCUAGAACUAAAUUACAUCUAGAUAUAUGAAUUCAUAUGACAAGUAUUUUCGGACGGUUGGAAUGUUUAAGAAUGGAGGGACUAUGUGACUAGUGGUUAUUUUCAUAUUUUACGUCGUGGCAAGCAAGCAAGCUUAAACAAAUUGGUGUUGAGCAUGCGAUCUUUAACUGUAAGGAAGGUGUACAUGACACUUGGUAUUCCGCUGCUCAUUCCUUCCGUUUGGCAGCUCAAGCAAGCAGCGGAUGGAAGAAUAACCUCCCUUCAUUCACUAAUCAUACUCCCCAGUCGGCCAUCGCUUUGUUGCAGUGUUGACAGCAUUGGACAACCUAUAAAUCACAUGUUAGAAAGGACAGUGGUGGGCGUGCUUUCUUUGCUGUCUCUGAAGGGGGAAAAGCCAGUAGAUAUCUUGACCUUGUGUGAACACCGAGGACUCCCAAGUCAAUGACUUAAACCUGAGGAGACGUGAUGCAACUUCCUCGUGGUUACCUGAGUUUCGUACUUUCUGUAUUUUGCCUAAGGCGGUUGCUUUCUGAGUUUGUUUUUUUAUGCACGGGCUUGUGUGAGAUCUUGUAUCUGCUCCAACCAGAAAAAUACUAGUAGCAGGGAAAUACGAGAAGUCUAGAGUGCAUCGUUGAGCGUUGGUUGGGCAAAUUGCAAUAUCAUCUUGAAGAAAAUCAAGAGGUCAAAGUCAAUUAAGAUGCGCUAGCAAGCUGAUACUAGUAUAUAACAGGUACAAGUACUCCCUCUGUUCUUUUUUAUAAGAGAGAUGCUCGGUCUGAAUUGUCUAAACAUCAGAGGGAGUACCAUAUAGAAGGAGAAAUCAACAUUACACAAUUUUGUUUACGAAAUGGACACAAUAUACUCCUUCCUUUCACUGUUAUAAAAAUGUUUUAACUUUUUUCUGAUUCA
Hordeum vulgare subsp. vulgare (domesticated barley) is the source of this 1027-nucleotide long non-coding RNA. RefSeq lists it as uncharacterized. The record is from RefSeq and is a predicted model, not a curated record. Lineage: Eukaryota; Viridiplantae; Streptophyta; Magnoliopsida; Poales; Poaceae. The transcript has 2 exons.